AAAUUGAAGAGUUUGAUCAUGGCUCAGAUUGAACGCUGGCGGCAGGCCUAACACAUGCAAGUCGAACGGUAACAGGAAGCAGCUUGCUGCUUCGCUGACGAGUGGCGGACGGGUGAGUAAUGUCUGGGAAACUGCCUGAUGGAGGGGGAUAACUACUGGAAACGGUAGCUAAUACCGCAUAACGUCGCAAGACCAAAGAGGGGGACCUUCGGGCCUCUUGCCAUCGGAUGUGCCCAGAUGGGAUUAGCUUGUUGGUGGGGUAACGGCUCACCA
RNAcentral lists this ribosomal RNA (273 nucleotides) under Escherichia coli. RNAcentral describes it as "partial 16S ribosomal RNA". It matches the Rfam family "Bacterial small subunit ribosomal RNA", at positions 1 to 270 of the family's 1533-position model. RNAcentral also lists the same sequence under 1 other name. The record is from RNAcentral. Lineage: Bacteria; Pseudomonadati; Pseudomonadota; Gammaproteobacteria; Enterobacterales; Enterobacteriaceae.